This is a long non-coding RNA of Tupaia belangeri chinensis (Chinese tree shrew), 1617 nucleotides long. RefSeq lists it as uncharacterized. NCBI's taxonomy places the organism in Eukaryota, Metazoa, Chordata, Mammalia, Scandentia, Tupaiidae. The record is from RefSeq and is a predicted model, not a curated record. The transcript is spliced from 6 exons.
GAGAUUAUCACUGCCUUGGCCAAUGAAAGGCGGGUGGAAGUGACGUGUGUACAAGUCCGAGAGCCGAGCCUGUGUGCAGUUUCCUACCCUUUCUGUUUUUGCACUGUCACCAAAACCACUGAGUUGCAGAAAGCGACCACUCCGUCGGCAUGGGUCCUGGACUGAGCAGGAUGCAGAGCAGAGCAUCGGCCAGCCUGCCAGGGACACGCACAGGAAGUCAAGGCAAAAGCAUUCGAAAUAUGGACUAUUUCACUGGUUUACCAUAAUAAAAGGAGAACCAGGAGCAUCCUCCGGAAUAUGGUGCCUGGUGUCACCGGAGCCGUAUUAAAGCCACAGAGCUUCUAGCAGAACAGGAAGAAGCCAGCAAUGCAAGCACACAGAACGGAAAGCCAGGGAGCCCGAGUCCCUGACAGCCCUUAGCUGACGCCAAAGCGCUGUCUCCAGAAACUUCUGCUUCAUGCCUGUAAGCCGUCCCAUCGGGCAAUUCAUCAUGGCCUCCAACGCUGCACAACUUGCCUAUCUUCAUAUCUUCUGCACUUAACUUUGCAUAUGUUUAAUUUCAGAGGAAUUUUUGUGAAGAUCAGACUCACAUUCGGUACAAAACACAGACUUUAUAGGACAUCAGGGAAUGUCUGUGGGGAGCUGUUGUGACUGCCAACAAAAGAGACGACAGUGACCACCAGCUGCCCCUGGAAACACCCUUCCAGUGUAUGUUAGCAUCUCACUGCACUGCACACCAGCCUGUGGCCUCACCGCCAUCCUCCUCUCAGAGAGGAAGCCCUCCAGGUCCAGCGUCCCCACUGCUUAACUCAAGUUCACAGACACAGCGGCAGAUGGAAAAAUUGUCCCAGAGUGCCACAGUCAUGGCUUCUUGGAGGUUUACCUGACCCUCAGGGCAGUGUGGCUGUCUCCGUGUUAAAGGAACUUCUGAUCUCUAUGCAUUAUGAAAUAAGCCUCUCUUAGUAUAUUUCUGCAUGCGCCCUGUUUUUCAAGCCGGAUAUCAACAGAAUGUCAACCAAACCAGUUAAAACAUUUCAAACUCUGUACAUGAGUUUUAGUGCAUUUGACAUUCUGAAAAACUCUUAGAGGGGGUAUUCAAGAUGGAAAAGGUGUAUUAUGGAAAAAACUAUGCAUGAAUUCCAAUUUUCUGUACCAAAAUUAUUUAUGCUUUAGUUUCAUUUUUUCAUAAAUGUUUUGAAGUUUUAUAAAAUUAGUUACUUGAAAAUUAUGUAAACAUAUAAAUUGUUUUCACCUGAUUAUUUUGUAUGAUCCCAACACACCACUCACCAUGGACCAGUUCUUCGAAAGGUUCCAGUGGCUUUCCAAGCACUCCUGCGUGCUCUACAAAGCCUUAGCUGUUUUGGCCCUGUGUUCAUGGCAAAUACAGCUGUGCUCCCCUUCUGGCCUCGGACUCCCACACAGACUAGGGGACAAGGAACUGGUUGGGGUCGUUGGGCUAUGUAUCUAUUAAAUCACUAAACCUGUAAUAAGGUAGGAGUUCUGUGUUUUCCUAGAUUCUGUAAGUGUCUGUCUGACAUCCAUUCAUCACAGGCCCAAUUAUAUUAGCUACAUGUUCUUAUUUACUGUAAUUUUUUCCCCAUAAGGUGUGUACACUCA